AUACGUAGGGAGCGAGCGUUGUCCGGAAUUACUGGGUGUAAAGGGUGCGUAGGCGGGACUGCAAGUCAGAUGUGAAAUGCCGGGGCUCAACCCCGGAGCUGCAUUUGAAACUGUGGUUCUUGAGUGAGGUAGAGGUAAGCGGAAUUCCUAGUGUAGCGGUGAAAUGCGUAGAUAUUAGGAGGAACAUCGGUGGCGAAGGCGGCUUACUGGGCCUUUACUGACGCUGAGGCACGAAAGCGUGGGGAGCAAACAGGAUUAGAUACCCUGGUAGUCCACGUUGUAAACGAUGAUGACUAGGUGUGGGGGGACUGAACCCUUCCGUGCCGCAGUUAACACAAUAAGUCAUCCACCUGGGGAGUACGGCCGCAAGGUUGAAACUCAAAUGAAUUGACGGGG
RNAcentral lists this ribosomal RNA (396 nucleotides) under uncultured bacterium. RNAcentral describes it as "partial 16S ribosomal RNA". It matches the Rfam family "Bacterial small subunit ribosomal RNA", at positions 523 to 918 of the family's 1533-position model. The record is from RNAcentral.